This is a non-coding RNA of Cherax quadricarinatus, 1113 nucleotides long. The record is from RefSeq and is a predicted model, not a curated record. Lineage: Eukaryota; Metazoa; Arthropoda; Malacostraca; Decapoda; Parastacidae.
UGAAGGCUCUCUCAUAUUUAAACAAACAAUACCUUCAAAAUGUUGUCAUUGUCUAAAAACAUCACUCAGAUUUGAUGGAAUAUUAAUAUAUAACAAUCAUAAACAUUUUUCAUUUGUAUCUUAUACCCCUACCUUAUGUAAUUGCUGCUUCUUCAUUGAAAUCUAAUUCAUUAUAUUAUGUAUUGGCUUUAUUCACACUGAAUUUCACAUAGAACUUAAAUUACAUUUUAUAAUUUUUUUUCCACGUACUUUUCCUUAGAAUUUACAAAAAGAUGUAAUCCCAGAGCUGACUCAGUAUUGCAAUUCUAGGACAUUAAAUUUUCUUUGAUUUUGACCGUUGAUGAUUCUAAGAACUUAAUCUAUUUCAUAUUCUUUUACAGUAUAACCUUAUAUAGUUUGUUGUUAUCAUAUCUUCCCUUCUUCCUGUCAGCCAGCUUGGGCAGCUUGUGUUUUCAGCCUUUCAUUAUAACUCAUAUUUUGUUUUAGCUCUAGGUUACACUUUGUACCUCUUCUUUGGACUUUUCCAUCUGAUCCACUUUUUUGAGUUGUGAAGACAAUUUAUGUUGUAAACAGUUUUUUCAGCAUCUUUCCAUGCAUAUGUUGCAUUUGAAAACUCUUUUAUAGCCUGUAAGAAAUAAUAAGGGAUGGAUGCCAGACAAAAACAAUGCCUCAGCUCUUGCAUUACAGAUUUUUUUUUACAGUGCAGUAUUUCAGUUUUAUGAAUGGUAUUCAAUUUUAUGUGUAUUGACUAUGUACCAUUGUAUUUAUAUUUUUUUAUAUAUUUUUUUUAUCUCUGAGCAGUAUUUAUUGUUGAGAUCUGAUACCAGUGAUUGCUUCUUCAAUCCUUGGCAAUGGGAUCAUCAUACCUGUAUCUUCUGCCUCUCACGGUCUUCGUACUCUUCCCUGCUACCUUCAUUAUCACGUACACCAUAUCAGUUUUGCUGCACCAUACUGAGCCAGACUUUCCAUACAUCAGUGAUACAGGAACAUACUCCCCUGAGAGCUGUAUCUUUGGCCAAGCCCUGAACAUAGGGGCUUUUGCUAGUAAGUUAUUUUUUGCUUUAAAAUCUUGGAACAGUGUAUUAAAAAAAUAAACUUUUUUUGAGAAGCUGG